Molecule: ribosomal RNA, 528 nt
Filed under: uncultured bacterium
Lineage: Bacteria
Description: bacterial SSU rRNA
Rfam family: Bacterial small subunit ribosomal RNA
Source: RNAcentral
AGAGUUUGAUCCUGGCUCAGAACAAACGCUGGCGGCGUGCCUAACACAUGCAAGUCGUACGAGAAAGUCGGCUUCGGCCGAUGAGUACAGUGGCGCACGGGUGAGUAACGCGUAAGUUAUCUACCUCGGCAUCUGGAAUAACUCACCGAAAGGUGUGCUAAUACCGGAUACGUUGAGUAAUCAAGAAAGGUGGCCUCUGAAUAUGCUACUGUGCUGAGAUGAGCUUGCGUACCAUUAGCUAGUUGGUAGGGUAAUGGCCUACCAAGGCAACGAUGGUUAGCGGGUCUGAGAGGAUGAUCCGCCACACUGGAACUGGAACACGGACCAGACUCCUACGGGAGGCAGCAGUGAGGAAUAUUGCGCAAUGGGGGCAACCCUGACGCAGCGACGCCGCGUGGAUGAUGAAGGCCUUCGGGUCGUAAAAUCCUGUCAGGUGGAAAGAAAUGCAUGGUGGUUAAUACCCAUCAUGUUUGACGGUACCACCGAAGGAAGCACCGGCUAACUCCGUGCCAGCAGCCGCGGUAAUAU